RNAcentral lists this ribosomal RNA (254 nucleotides) under uncultured bacterium. RNAcentral's name for it is "partial 16S ribosomal RNA". It matches the Rfam family "Bacterial small subunit ribosomal RNA", at positions 524 to 776 of the family's 1533-position model. The record is from RNAcentral.
UACGUAGGGGGCGAGCGUUGUCCGGAUUUAUUGGGCGUAAAGAGCUCGUAGGCGGUUUGGCAAGUCGGGUGUGAAAACUCCGGGCUCAACUCGGAGACGCCACUCGAUACUGCUAUGACUCGAGUCCGGUAGGGGAGUGCGGAAUUCCUGGUGUAGCGGUGAAAUGCGCAGAUAUCAGGAGGAACACCGGUGGCGAAGGCGGGUCUCUGGGCCGAUACUGACGCUGAGGAGCGAAAGCGUGGGGAGCGAACAGG